This 19063-nucleotide long non-coding RNA is filed under the name Nicotiana benthamiana. RNAcentral describes it as "long non-coding RNA (NBEN_LNC009428)". The record is from RNAcentral. Lineage: Eukaryota; Viridiplantae; Streptophyta; Magnoliopsida; Solanales; Solanaceae.
CGUCUUGAUACUUUUUUAAUUUAAAAUAAUUAUGUUAUUACCAUGUGUACAUUCCGUACCUUGGUUUAAUAUUUAAUUUCAAGGAAAUACCUUUUGUGCGUAUCGCAUCUUGGUCAAAAUAAUUAAUAAAAAAUAUGAUAAAUUAAGUGAAGUGGUAAUAAACAAGACAUAACCAAUAAAAUACAAGAAUAACUAAAAAUUUAUUUAAGCCUUACUAAUCAAUAGAAACGACCGUGCUAGAACCACGAGACUCGAGGGGUGCCUUACACCUUCCCCUCGGUCAACAGAAUUCCUUACUCAGUCUUCUAUUUUCAUAGACUAUAAAUUAGUAGUCAAACCUUCCUUUCGAAAUGGGAUUCAAAUAAAAGGUGACUUGGAACAUCAAAACUUAAUUCCAAGUGGCGAAUCUAAAUAAUAAAUAACCCUUUUCAAAAUGUCACUUUAAUUGGAAAAACUCUUCUAACUCAACCUCGUAACAAGGUUGUGUGGUAAAAAAGAGGUGCGACAACCGUUGCGACUCUGCUGGGGACAAUUAAUAAGAAUUCGAGCUUUGUAUAUUGAUUCUUGUUUGGCUUUUAUCAUGUUUUAAUAUUACUGUGUUUGGAAGCCUAAUGUGUUAUUUGUCGCUUGUUUACCGCUUUAAUAUUUAUUUGAACUGUGAUAUAAAUUGUAUCCUCUCUCGCACCUGUCUGAGUCUUCUGAUAGGUAGUUAUGUUGUGUUUGCCUACUAGCAUCACAAAACUUCUAUCUUCAGAUAAAGCCAAUUAGCCUACCAGCUUCUGGUGAAAGAUUUAGUCACACAUGUUUAGGCAGGAGAGCCUUUAACUAGCUAGUGCUGUUCUACCAUUGGUGACGCUUGACGCUCCUCGGCCCGGGUUCUCCACCCGGGUAAGCCAGGUCUAGAUACCAUCUCCUUUAGGAUUUGAAAACUUCGAAGAACAAACCACAAGCAAUGAAUAUUCCUAGUAGGUUAAGCUUUAUUUGCAUCAUAUGCAUUGAGCUUAGCGGGCUCAGCACAAGGGUCGGGCCUAUCUAGGACAGGAACCAAUUUUUCGGACCAACAUGUUCAUAUCUAUGUGCUAUAUGUAACGUUAUUUGGUAGGCAUCACUAAAAUGUUGACCGGCUUUAGGAUAGAAUUAAACAAGGAUAAAGAAAGAGAAAAUUUCCAAGUUUUCUUAAAAUACCAUUAUUUUAAAAUAAAAUUUUGAAAGGUUUUGGUAUAUAAACUAACAAUUUUCAAAAUAAUUUUCUUUUUAGUUAUUUUAACCGAACUAUGCGGGUUUGAUUCUCACCGGUUGUGAGAUACGUAGGAAACCUUCAUCACGUACAACCCUAUUUUAAAUAAACAUAAAAAAGGAGUAAAAAAAGAUUUUUAUGGACUAUUAGAUUUUAUUUUUAUAUAUAUUUUUUCCAAAUAAUGAUAAUAUAGUCACUUUAUCAAAUUUUUAACCAGUUUUGCCCUUGCAUCCGGUCUUUUUAUCGAAGUAGCCUUGAAACCUGCAUCGAAAAUGCGAAAUGGGAGGCUAGUUUUAUAUUUUAUUAGUUAUUUUUACAAAACAAAAAAAAGUUAUUUGGGCCUUUUAUUUUUUAAUGACUAUUACUAAUGUAAUUUUUUUAGUCCCACAGUUUGAUUUUUAUUUAUUUAUUUUUUCUUCAAACUCGAGAAAUUGGAAUUUUUGUGUCAAUAGUAUAUUUAACUAAAACCGACCCCGUGUCUGGAUAAAUAGGUGCACCAUGAGUGGUGAAAGAGGUAAGUCCGAUAAGAGGCCCAGGUCAGAAAGGAUACCAGAUUUUCUUAUUGUUGAUCAGAUACCACAAUUAUUAUGGGAUUGGUGGAGAGAUUUUAAGGAAUAUGAGCGAGACCAGAUAAAGAAGUACUUGGGACAUUUGGUUCACAUGAUGAAGAUCAAGCCUAGGAGGGAUGUAAUCGAAGCUUUGAUUCCGCAUUGGGAUCCUGAAAAUAAUGUGUUCCAUUUUACUGAUUGUGAGAUGACUCCGACCUUGGAGCAAAUCGCCCAUUUCCAGGGGUGGGACCGUAGUCUUCGCUGCCAGAGACCCAUAGUGCCAAAAAGUGUGAAUGAGGGUAAGUUUCUAAAGCUCUUGAACAUAAACUAUGGACAUUAUGAAGGUUUAGGAGGCAAUUGAGUUAAGUUGGGAUUUAGGGCGUGUAGUUUUUCCAGAAAGGGAAGGACACAUUGACAUCCGAUUGGCAGGUGUAGUCGAGGUGCUAACCUCAAAAGGUGAUGAUUAUACUUUGGUCCCUAUGAUUCUUUCUUCCAUUUUUCGUGCUUUAACUGGAUUUAAACUGGGCGCACAAAACUUUGAUGGCUGCAACAUUUUGCUGCAAAUAUGGUUUUUGGAGCAUUUUUAUCGCCAUCCUACGAUCUCUAAUUUUAUUGAGCUCUGGCCCAAUCACACUUUUGAUCACCAGAAGAGAAUUGACAAAUGUGACUUACCUGAAGGGAUUAACUUCUGGAAAGAACUACUUCUUACUUUUUCUGCCAAACAAAUCACAUGGAAUUACGAUUAGUUUUCCUCGAAAGAGGUCAUUUGUGAAUCUGCAUACCAUUCUUAUUUCGUACUUACAGGAUUGGAUGUUGUUCAGCCUUAUGCUCCACUUUGGGUAAUGCAUUAGCUUGCACGAUGACAGGAGGUGCCACCAGCAUGAGAUAUGAGCAAGGUCUGUUAUGAUUUUGGUAAAGAUCAACCUCAUGACGAAGGGGAAAUUAUGAAAAAUUGGUAUGCAAGUAAAGUUUUGGAGUUCAAUGAGAUGGUAGAGGACCGAGAUCGUGGAGAGGUGAUCCCUGAAUAUAUUACCUGGUUUCAUGAUCCUUCGUCGUUUACAGAUAAGACUGAGGGGCUGAACAGGAGGAGAAAGGAUCAAAGAACUAUAGAUAAGCUGAAAGAUGAAUUGGAGCAUGCUCAGAUGAUUAAAGCCAAACAACAAGCCCAUCAUCAAGCAAAGAGUCGCUCAUAUUCGUUUAAACAUUGAAAAAGAGUAUCAAUCUGCUUUGCGAGUCAUGGAUAAAGAUUUAAAGCGCAUCAGGCCGGAGUCGCUCAUAUUCGUUUAAAAAUUGAGAAAGAUUAUCAAUAUGCUUUGCGGGUCAUGGAUAAAUAUUUAAAGCAUGCUAAAAAUAAGGCAGCCCGCUUAAAAGAAGAACUGUCAAACACGGUUGGUUUAGUCAGAAGAGUGGAGGCGAACAAAAAUGCUGAAAUACAUAAGUUGCCAGAAGACUUGAAUAUCAUUGAAGAAGAUGCGCACCAACAAGUGGAGUUUGAUCAGCAGAAAGAGCAGUUUGAAACAAAAAGGGCCCACUGGAUACGCUCAAAGAGUCAGCUUUAUGCACAAUUAGAAGAAAUAAAAAAGCAGAAUAGGGGUCAUCAUCACACAGAUUUUGAGGAAGAGCGACGUCAAUGGAUGAUUGAGCGAGGUGUGUUAAACCAUCGCAUUGAAGAAUAUGAGGGACGUGAGGCUCAGAUGGGGCACGCCCUCAACACUACCCAGAUGUGGUUGCAUAAUUGUCACAUGAGUAUAGGGAAGGCUAGAGAGCAGGUACUUCGAUUGGUAGAAAAAGUAACAUAUGUUCAUGAUGAUCAUCGUCGUCUAAAUAUUGAGGAAGUUGGUCAACAAGCACGUGUCCUCGUUCCACAGUUGCCAAGGGUGUUUCAGAAUUUGUGCGAGACUUUAGGGGGACAGUAGAGGCCAAGAGAUGCAGACAAUUGAUGAUAUCAGUUAAAGCAAGAAGACUAUUGAAGAUUAACUUUUUAAUACAGUCCAUUAGUUCUCAGUUUCAUUUAUUUGUAGCAUUUUUAAUUUUGGAGACUUUUUUUAUUAUUAUUAUUAUCAAAGUUUGUUUUAUUCCAGUCAUCUUUAUGUCUUUAGAGUCAGUUUGUAUAUAUUUACUUUUCUCUCAUUCUAUUUAAAAAAAAUAUAAUUGACAAAUAUUUUAGUUUGUUUUAUCUAUAAAAAAAUCAUUAUAAUUGUUAUUAUUUCUCCUGAACUACGUGAUGGUCUGAUUAAUGCAGCGUCAUGAUACGUAGGCAAUCCCCAUCGGAUGGGAUCAUAGCCAUAAUUAAUCUAGAAAAAAAUAAAAAAUGAAAAUAAAAUAAAAUAAAAGAGCACUAAGUUCAAAAGGAAAUAAACCAACAAGCCGGGAUGAAGCAUGAAGCCUUCCAAAAUCAUUUUAGAAUUAAAAAUGGCAUUAGGUGUAUGUCAUGCAAUGUGCGAUUAAUAUCAGAAAAAUGCCUAACUCUAACAUGUUUGUUGUUUGUUAUUUCUAAAGAGAUAAGGUUAAACUGGCGACUCACCCUUAUAACACGAGGUCAAAAGGAAAAAGUAGAAUGGGAAACAAUAGUGAGAAUGAGUCAGAUAAUAAUGAUGUCCAUGGAUAAUUGGUCGAACAAGGUUCGAGACUGGUUGAAGAAGCAAGAAUGCUGAAACAUGAAUUGGCAGAUAUGCACCAAGCUUGGGUGAAUGGACAGGCACCACCCUCACUACCCCUGGAGCCUUUGGAUAAUCUUCAUAAUGUGUCAGUUGCAAAUCAAGUGACUAUCUCCAUAAUAAGUAACCCAUUAUACCAACCUGGAUUCAGUCCGAGCGUUAACCUCCUCACUAUCCCCAGUACCUCCAUUCCACGCCCUCCAGCCGCACCAUUCAGAAAUGACCCACAUAUUGUACCCAUUCCUCAACCGGCUCUCGCUCAAAAGCUCAACAAUAAUCCACAAUUGAAUGCUCAUGAUACCCAACAUUACUCUCCAGAACUGAUUUUCAAGGUUCCAGAUUCAUACAAGCAUACUCCUCAGAACAUGUUCCCUAUUGAGGUCGAAAAGCCCAACAAGAAUAUGGAACAAGAGGAAAUAACCAUAAAAGUGAAGAGUUUGGGACAAACAUUUCAGAACAUGUUCCCAGUCGAGGUGAAGAAGCCCAACAAGAAUAUGGAAGAAGAGGAAAUGACCAGAAAAGUGAAGAGUUUGGAACAAACCAUGAGAAACAAACAAGGUUUGGGAGGCCACAAGAGUGUUUCGUUUAAUGAUUUAUGCAUAUUUCCCUAUGUUCAUUUGCCACCUGAAUUCACGACCCCUAAGUUUGACAAGUAUGAUGGUCACAGUGAUCUUGUGGCCCACUUGAAGAGAUAUUGUAACCAAUUGAGAGCAUGGGGCAAAGAAGAAUUACUCAUGUCUUCUUUUGGGGAAAGUUUGACAGAAAUUGCUUCAGAGUGGUUCAUAGAUCAAGACAUACCUCACUGGUACGUUUAGAACGACAUAGCUUAAGAUUUUGUCAAACAAUUUCAGUACAAUAUUGAUAUAGUGCCAGACCGCUCCUCUCUUGUCAACAUAAAAAAGAAAUCUAUAGAAAGCUUCAGAGAAUAUACAAUAAAGUGAGCAGGCUGUUAGGGUCAAACCACCAAUGAAAGAGGCAGAAAUGAUUGACUACUUUCUCCAAGCUCAGGAUCCUGAUUACCUCCAUUAUAUGUUGGCCGCCAUUGGUNNNNNNNNNNNNNNNNNNNNNNNNNNNNNNNNNNNNNNNNNNNNNNNNNNNNNNNNNNNNNNNNNNNNNNNNNNNNNNNNNNNNNNNNNNNCGCCGAGGCGAUUAAGAUUGGGGAAAUAGUUGAGAAUGGCAUGAAGUCGGGCAAAAUGGUGAGUCGGGCAAAAUGGUGAGUCAGGCAUCCCUUAAAGCGACCAUGCAAGCAAUUCAAAACGGGUCAGGCAGUUUCAAAAAUCGGAAAAAGAAGGAGGAAAGAUCCAUGAUGGCGUCUGGAUUCUGGGAAGUUCAAAGAGGAAUAGUUCCUUCAUACGUGCAAUUCCAACAAGGACAAUCCAAUUCUCCUCAACAUUAUUAUCCACCUCAGGGUCCCUGAUACUCAUUUCCCUCGCAACAAUACACAAUGUAUAAUUCUCUGGUUUAUGUUAGGCCUCCCAAUCACCAACAAUGGCGAGUAUCGAUUCCACAAGGCUCCCGUCAACUCCGGCAAAAUUUUCAGGCACCAUAAAAUCCUCAUGCCAGACAAGAAUAUGUGAGAGAACAAGAGCCAAAGAAAGAGUUCACCCCAAUUGGAGAAUGGUAUGCAAGCCUAUUUCGAAAGUUGAUGCAGCUGAAAUUGAUUGAACCUAUCAUGCCGUUACAUGAAUCGAAAUUCAAAAGGUUUUGACUCCAAUGUGAGAUGUGAGUAUCAUUCUAACACUCAAGGUCAUAGUACCGAAAAUUGUUGGAAAUUAAAGAAAUCCAUUGAAAAUUUGAUUGAAGCAAAGGUAAUAGUGGUGACAAACAAUAAAGAUACUCCUAAUAUCACAAACAAUCCGCUCCCAGCUCAUGAUAAUACACAUUUUAUUGGGAUAAUUUGUGAUGAUCCUGAUUAUAAGCGAUCUGGCAAGAGAGAAAUGAUUGUUGGAACCAUAGGGCCAAAGCCAAAAGUGAUAGUAAGCCCGUGGCAAUUGGCAGCGCUGAUUGUGAAAGGUGCGACUUCUAGUCCCAACUUGGCAGGUUCUGAAAAAAUGGUUCUUUAUGUCCCUGGAAGCACAAAUAAGAUUGAGGUUCAAUUGGGUGGGCCAAAACUUUAUAUCCCUGGGGUCAUUUAAAAGAUUGUUCCGAAUAAUGCUUUGAGAAAUAUAAUAGAGCCAGUUGUGAUUCGACCUGUUGCACAACUUCCAGUGUCGAUCCCAAAAGCUAUUCCCUGGAACUAUAACAAGACUGUCAUGACAUACAAAGGAAAAGAGAUAGUGGAAGAAACAGAUGAAAAUGGGAGGCUUGACCCACUAUGGAAGGUGCUAUUUGCCAGAGGAGUUGAGAAAAGCUAAGCAAGCCAAGAAAAAUCACUUUCCAGUGAAAGAAACUGUUUAAGAAAAAGAAGCGGAGGAAUUCCUUAAGAAGAUAAAAAUGCAAGACUACUCAAUCAUUGAUCAACUAAGGAAACCUCCUCCUCAAAUAUCUUUGUUAUCUCUGCUUUUGCACUCGAAAGAACAUCGCCGUGUGUUGAUCAAAACUUUGAAUGAGGCAUAUGUAUCAGAAAAGACAACGGUGAAUCAGCUAGAAAAGAUGGCUGAAAGAUUCUUUGACGUGAACAAAAUUUCUUUCAGCGAUGAUGAUUUGCCUAUGGAAAGGGCUGGGCACAAUAAAGCUUUGCAUCUUAUGGUGAAAUAUGAAGGGCAUUACAUAAAAUUGGUCAUGAUUGACGGAGGCUCAAGUGUAGAAAAGGGGCUGGGCACAAUAAAGCUUCGCAUCUUAUGGUCAAUGUGAAGGGUAUUACGUAAAAGGGGUCAUGAUUGACGGAAGCUCAAGUGUAGAUGUAUGCCCUCUUUCUAUUCUACAACAACUGAACAUUGACACUAACAGAANNNNNNNNNNNNNNNNNNNNNNNNNNNNNNNNNNNNNNNNNNNNNNNNNNNNNNNNNNNNNNNNNNNNNNNNNNNNNNNNNNNNNNNNNNNNNNNNNNNNNNNNNNNNNNNNNGAGACACUAUUGGGGAAAUUGAACUCACCAUGACAAUUGGCCCGGUUGAUUUUAACAUUGUCUUUCAAGUGUUGGAUAUGAAAACCUCCUAUAAUUUUAUUCUAAGAAGGUCGUGGAUCUAUAUGGCCAGAGCUAUACCAUCCACCCUACAUCAAAUGGUCAAAUUCGAAUAAGACAGGCAAGAAGUUGUUGUUCAUGGGGAGGACGACUCAUCCAUCUAUAAUGACCCGUCCAUUCCAUGUAUCGAGGCCAAGGAAGGAAGUGAAUCCCUCAUAUAUCAAACAUUUGAGGUGAUUGAGGUAGACCAAGUGGAAGAAGGAAAANNNNNNNNNNNNNNNNNNNNNNNNNNNNNNNNNNNNNNNNNNNNNNNNNNNNNNNNNNNNNNNNNNNNNNNNNNNNNNNNNNNNNNNNNNNNNNNNUAACCCCAUCUUUCAGCCACAUCUAUGAUGGUAGCUUCACUAAUGUUGAGGAACGGCUAUGAACCAGAAAAAAGUAUUAGGAUCAUUUCUGCAAGGAAUUGUGAACCCCAUUACUCCCUUUUCGAAGAAAGAUACCUUUGCUUGGAUUUUAAACAAACAUCAACUGACAUAAACAGAGCCAAGGCCCACAAAAAAAAUGCUGGGAGCUUGUCAAAACCAAUCCCUCAAGAUGUCAUUGAUGAAGUUUGCCAGUGUCUCAAGGAAAUAUUCUAUGGAAUCAACAUGGUUCAAGUUGGUGAGGGCCCUAGCCGUGCAAGUGUUCAGCUGAUUGGCCCAGAUACCUCGCUCAACAACUGGGAAGCAACUCCUCUUCCCAUCAGGAAGCAGUCUUGGUAGUCUGGUUUGUUGCUUUUUUUGUAUUUGGAUUGUUUUCAAGGUUGUAAUCCAUAUACUUUAGUUUAAUUGCUUUGCUUUGAUGUUAACCCUUCUAUCCUUUCAAAUUCAAUGAAAUGAAGUUCCAGUUUCAUAGUAGAAUUCUGUCUUUUCCUUUCCCUAGUUUUUGUUAAUUUCUCAUCAUUUUCAGUUUCGUUAAUGCUGGCUUUAAAAACAUAGCAUACACGCGAAAUUCAUGCCCAGAUCUUAAAAAGUUGUCUAAUCUCGAAAUAAUGAAUCAAGAAGUUGAGUAUGAUGAAGAUGAAGCCUUCAAGGAAAUAAAAAGAUUAUUGGAUCAAUUUGAGAAUAAGCCUCAGCCUAACUUAAAUGAAACUGAGGCAUUUUUAAGGAAAUAAAAAGAGAAUUGAAUCAAUUUGAGAAUAAGCCUAAACCUAACUUAAAUGAAACUGAGAAAAUUAACAUGGGAAGUCCUGAAGAAAUCAAAGAAACAAAAAUAAGCAUUCAUACUGAACAAAGGACGAGAGAUGCCAUAAUUCGAGUUUUGUUCGAGUAUAGAGAUGUAUUUGUUUGGUCGUAUGAUGACAUGCCGGGUUUGAGUGCUGAUUUAGUGGUCCAUAAGCUUCUCACAUAUCCUAAUUUUCCACCAAUCCAACAAAAACAAAGGAAAUUUAAGACAGAUAUGAGUGAUAAAAUUAAAGAAGAAGUCACGAAGCAACUAAGUGCAAAUGUGAUCAGGGUCGUCCGAUAUAUUACAUUGUUAGCAAAUGUUGUGCCAGUGCCAAAGAAGGUUGGGAAAAUUAGAGUUUGUGUUGACUAUAUGGAUUUAAACAAAGCAAGUCCAAAAGACAAUUUUCCCUUACCCAACAUUCAUAUCCUUGUUGACAAUUGUGCUAACCAUGAGAUCCAAUCUUUUGUGGAUUGUUAUGCCGGAUAUCACCAAAUUCUGAUGGAUGAAGAAGAUGCAGAAAAGACCGUCUUCACCAUUCCAUGGGGACCUAUUAUUAUAUGGUCAUACCAUUUGGUUUGAAGAAUGCAGGAGUAACUUACAUGAGGGACAUGACUACCAUAUUCCAUGACAUGAUGCACAAAGAGAUUGAGGUGUAUGUUGAUGAUGUGAUCAUUAAGUCUAGAACACGAGAUGAUCACGUGCAAGACUUGAAAAGUUCUUUGAAAGGCUACGAAGGUAUAAUCUCAAACUCAAUCCAGCCAAAUAUGCACUUGGAGUUCCUUCUGGGAAGCAUUUGGGUUUUAUAGUUAGUCGAAGAGGCAUUGAGUUAGAUCCCUCCAAGACAAAGACCAUCCGAGAGCUGCCUCCCCCGAAGAAUAAAAAAGGAGUCAUGAGUUUUCUUGGGAGGUUGAACUACAUCAGCAGGUUCAUUGCACAGCUUACAACCACAAGCGAGUCUAUUUUCAAGUUGUUGAAAAAGAACGCCGCUAUCAAGUGGACAGAUGAGUGCCAAGAAGCUUUUGAUAAGAUCAAGGAAUAUUAGUCAAAUCCUUCUAUUUUGGUCCCACCAGAACCUGGUAGGCCUCUAUUUUUAUAUCUAUCAGUAAUAGUUAGUUCUUUUGGUUGUGUUCUGGGUCGAGAACCCGGUAGACCUCUAUUUUUAUAUCUGUUAGUAAUAGAUAGUUCUUUUGGUUGUGUUCUGGGUCAACAUAAUUCCAUAGAAAAAAAGCAACAAGCAAUAUAUUAUUUGAGCAAAACGUUUUACCACUUAUGAGGCCAAAUACACUUUUUUAGAAAAGACAUGUUGUGCCUUAACCUGGGUCGCUCAGAAGCUUAAGCAUUAUCUUUUGGCCUAUACAACUUACCUCAUAUCCCGAAUGGAUCCUCUGAAGUACAUUUUUCAGAAGCCGAUGCCAACUGGCAGAUUGGCAAAGUGGCAAAUCUUGCUCACAGAGUUUGAUAUAGUUUAUGUCACGAGCACUGCCAUGAAGGCACAAGAUUUGACUGAUCAUCUGGCAGAAAACCCGGUGGAUGAUGAGUAUGAAUCUUUGAACACAUACUUCCCAAAUUAAGAGGUUAAUUUAGUUGAAGAAGAAGUCCAAGAUGACAGUAAAGUUUGGAAACUAUACUUUGAUGGGGCUGUCAACAUUAAAGGCGUAAGGAUUGGGUUAAUUCUCGUAUCACCUAUUGGGCAACAUUACCCUGCCACAGCACGACUUCCUUCUUCUGUACGAACAACACAGUAGAAUAUGAAGCUUGCAUCAUGGGUUUGAACAUGACAAUAAACCUAAAUGUGCAUGAAUUGUUGGUAAUGGGAGAUUCACAUUUGCUUAUUCGGCAGGUUCAAGGUGAUUAGGAGACUCGAGACAUCGAGCUCAUUCCAUAUAAACAAUGUGUGGAAGAUCUUAUCAAGAGAUUCAAGUCCAUCGAGUUCAGAUACAUUCCCAGGUUUCACAAUGAAUUAGCUGAUGCAUUGGCCACCCUGGACUCAAUGCUUCCAUAUCCGGGUAAUACUCACAUUGACCCGUUGGAAAUUCAAAUUCAGGAUCAACAUGGUUAUUGCCAUACAAUUGAAGCGGAACUAGAUGUUGAACCAUGGUACCGUCAUAUUAAACUGUUUUUGAAAACAAGAGAAUAUCCGAAACAUGAGGGAUCAAAAGAGAACCAUUAGGCGACUCUCUAAUGGUUUCUUUUUGAGUGGGGAAAUCCUUUACAAAAGAACCCCGGAUUUAAAUUUAUUGAGAUAUGCGAAUGCCAAAGAAUCUGAAAUGAUUAUGAACGAGGUGCAUUCGGGAGUUUGUGGUCCGCGCAUGAAUGGAUUCUAGCAAAGAAGAUCCUUCAGGCAGGAUAUUAUUGGCUUACUAUGGAACGAGAUUGCUUUUGUUUUGUUCGCAAGUGUCACCAGUGUCAGAUUCACAUUGAAUUGAUUCACUCGUCUCGUUCAGAGUUGUAUCCUUUGUCAGCUCAUUGGCCUUUUGUUUCUUGGGGAAUGGAUGUCAUUGGCCCAAUCGAGCCAAAAGCUUUAAAUUGGCACAAAUCCAUAUUGAUUGCAAUUGAUUACUUCACCAGAAGGGUGGAGGCUAUUACAUUAAAAGCAGUUACCAAGAGAGCAGUAGUAGACUUUGUUCACUCUAACAUCAUCUAUCGUUUCGGUAUUCCAAAAACCAUUAUUACAGAUAAUGCUGCUAAUUUGAAUAGUCAUCUGAUGAAGGAGGUAUAUGAAAAAUUUAAAAUUGAGCAUCGUCAUUCUACUUCUUACCGAUCCAAAGCUAAUGGAGUUGUUGAAGCUGCAAAUAAAAACAUCAAGAAGAUUCUUAGGAAGAUGGUCCAAGGGUCUAGAUAAUGGCACGAGAAAUUGCCUUUUGCUCUGUUGGGAUACCGGACAAGAUAACUUUCUGUACAUCAGUUGGUGCAGUACCCUACUUGUUGGUUUAUGGCAUUGAAGCAUUCAUACCUGCUGAAGUUGAGAUUCUAUCUCUCCGGAUAAUUGUUGAUGCUGGGAUUGAAGACACUGAAUGGGUGAAGUCACGAUUGGAACAGUUGAGUUUGAUUGAUGAAAAGUGUUUGGCGGUAGUCUGUUUUGGUCAGUCAUACCAACAAAGAAUGGCACGCGCUUACAACAAGAAAGUGCACCCAAGAAACUUUGAGGUAGGACAAUUUGUUUUGAAAUGCAUCUUUCCACAACAGGAAGAAGAAAAACGAGAGUUCGCCCCGAAUUGGCAAGGUCCUUACCUCGUCAAGAAAGUAUUGUCGAAAAGAGCUCUACACUUGGCAGAUAUAGAAGGAAAGGUGACAGACAUAUCCAUCAAUGCAGAUGCAGUCAAGAGAUACUAUGUCUGACAUGCUUCUAUUGGGGCAGUUGGUUUAUACCUAGCAUUCUCAGGUUGGGAUGACGAAAGGCUAUCAUUCUCUAUGUCUGACAUACUUCUAUUGGGGCAUUUGGUUUAUACUUAGCAUUCUCAGGUUGAGAUGACUAAAGGUUAUCAUUCUCGCUACCCAGACACUGGUCAACCCUAGUUAGCCUUUUGUAGCGUUGUUUAUAUUUCUUUGUGUUUACCUUCUUUUGGAACAAAUGUACUUAAAAAAAUCAUCAAAACAAGUUCAUGUUGUCCUGAACUAAGUUCGACUUGAUUCCGAAAGGAUACGUAGGCAACCUCUCUCUGAGGUUCAGUCACACCAAAUAAAAAUCCACAUCCCAAUAUUCAAAGAAAUUGGGGCAUGUUUUUAUUUUAUUUUUCGAUGGUCGUUCCAUCAAAUGGUUCUAAAAGUUGUAAUUCAGUUGAGUAGUUCUUAUUACCUUUACCUUUUAAGACCUUCUGAUAAGCUUUUGAGAAUACCAAGUCAGUACACUGCGGGUGGCGCUUCAACCAUUGCAAAAAGAAAAAAAAAUAAGAGAGUCUUAUUGGUGAAAACCCUCAAGAGCACUAUAAAGCGAUGAAGAGUUGAGAAAGACAAACGAGAGAGUCUUAUCGGUGAAAACCCUCAAGGGCACUAUAAGGCGAUGGUGAGUUGAGAAAAAGGCAAAUAAGAGAGGUCAAUUGGUGAAAACCCACAAAGGGCAUCGUUGAUCGAUUUUAGGUCUUCUCAUAUCCCGGCACAAACAUGGUUAAAGAACUCAGUUUCAUAGAGAAGUUUACACAGAUUUUAAUCGUUGAUCGAUUUUAGGUCUUCUUAUAUCCCGGCACAAGCAUGGUUAAAUAACUCAGUUUUGAAAGUGAGGUUUACUACAGAUUUUGAGAAUUAGACGGUUUAGACGGAUCAGGCAUCCAGCCCAAAGUGCAUGUGAUGUUCAUUGAAGUCAGCAUGUUCCUCCAGAUAAGUCUUUUCUUAUUCUUCCCCUAAAAGGGAAACUUCUUGAUUAAGUUGUAAUUAUUAGUUCACCUAUUUGUUUUCUUUCGUACUAUUAUUUUUGAGUCCCUUUCAGUUUAACUUUGUCAAAGCAAAGCAAAGAAAAGGCCACAAAAUUGGUUACAGUUUCCUCGUUAUAUGAAUAAAAAAUUUCUGGGCAUAAAUAGUAUAGGCAAAGCCAUAAAGCCAACUUUGAUAUUCCUUGUCAAACAAAAGGAUUGAAGGACUUAGCAAUGUUUCAAGGGCAACAAAAGUUACUCAUCAAAAGUUGUUUUCGGGAACAAAGUUGUUUGCACCAUAGACAAAAAUGGUGAUAGGCGCAAAAUAAUCAGGCGUUAAUGUUGAAAAAAAAUCUUCAAAAAAUAAAGUCAGAAUCUCCCGACAAUUUGUACAAUCAUCGACAGGGCCCUAACAAGUGCAAUGGACCCAAGGUCAAGUCGCCCAAGAAGUUAAGGCCACAAACUGACCACCAUUUAAAAAACUAACGAAUCUUUUUUUUUGUUUAGAACAAGAACAGAUUCGUUUAGUGAAACAAUUCGUAGAAAGACGAACAUCACCAAGUGAAGUUCUCAAAUCCAUGAUUUCCUUCCAAUAUACAUGUAAGCAUGUUAUUUUAGUUUCAUUAUAGGGGCUCAACAUCCUAUCUUCAACAAAGGGUACUACAUCACUUGAUUGCAUUAUUUUCUACAUAGGGUACGGCAUCCCAUAGUAGCAUUUCAAAGUGCCACGAGCCUCAUUUUAUUGCCAACACAGGGUACUAUAUAUCAUGGCUGCAUUAUUUUCUACAUAGGGUAUGACAUCCCCUAAUAGCAUUUCAAAGUGCCACGAGCCUCAUUUUAUGGCCAACACAGUGUUUACGCUGGCUGCAUUAUUUUCUACAAAGGGUAUGACAUUCCCUAGUAGCAUUCAAAGUGCCACGAGCCUCAAUUUAUGGCCAACCCAGGGUACUACAUCUCUAGCUGCAUUAUUUUUUACAUAGGGUACGACAUCCUCUAGUAGUAUUUCAGAGUGUCACGAGCCUCAUUUUAUUUCCAACACAGGGUACUAUAUCCCCUGGCUGCAUUAUUUUCUAUAUAGAGUACGACAUCCCCUAGUAGCAUUUCAGAGAGUCAUGGGCCUCAUUUUAUUUCCAACACAGAGUACUAUAUCCUUUAGUUGCCUCUUUCCUGUUAACAUAGGGUAUAACAGUCCCUAUUAUUAUUAUUAAAAAAAAUCUUUUUCAAUUCUUUAUUCUGCAAUACCAAUGAUAGUUUUUGGUGCAAACUAUGGCAGAAAAUUUUUGUUUGUUUUGUUUGUUUGUGUUGGCUUGUAGGUUUUUUUGUAAAGCACAGAUUUGAUGUGCAAAAAUAAGAUUUCAGAUCUUUCCAGAAAAAGUGGAACGUUUGAUCUGAAUACCAGCUGCAACCAGCUUUGGCGUAAUGCAUGCGAAGACAUAUGGUCAAGAUCUUUCUUUCCAUCAUCGGAUCAAGAAACAAGCAUUAAAGAAUAUUUCAUAGUCUGUUCCAUCGAGAGCAUGAAGUUCCAAUCCAAAGUCAUUGGGCGAAGCAAAUCAAGAAUCAAGACAAGACUCCAGAUGGCAGUUAGAUAGGAAUUUUGUAACUCUUAGAUUUCAAGAGUAUGUAAUCUUCUUUUCAUUUUGAUGUNNNNNNNNNNNNNNNNNNNNNNNNNNNNNNNNNNNNNNNNNNNNNNNNNNNNNNNNNNNNNNNNNNNNNNNNNNNNNNNNNNNNNNNNNNNNNNNNNNNNNNNNNNNNNNNNNNNNNNNNNNNNNNNNNNNNNNNNNNNNNNNNNNNNNNNNNNNNNNGAACCUCAGUGGACUCUCCAUCUAAGUAUACUCCAUCACUCUUCUUUCUACUUGAACUACACGUGACCUGAUUCCCUUAUAACCCGGGAUAUGUAGGCGGCCUAAAAUCAAGACUCGGUCGCACCUUUUUCUUCUAUCUUGUUUUCCUUUUCAAAUGAUAGUGAGGUCAAAAAUCAGUCACUUUGUUCAUUUUUCUUUGCCUGAAAACUUUUCAUGUUUCCAAGCAAAGAGGGGCAUGCUGUGAACACCUAAUUUUUUACCAUACCUAAAUUCUAUACUAGUUUAGUGUAAAUAUUUCUUUUACAUCUAAUCUUAAUAUUUUAAAAGUAUUAUCUUACUCUUAGUAGGUUUUAUUUAAAAAAAAAUAUAUACUAACUAUAUAUUCACAAUUUUAGAGUAUAUGUUUUACUCCUAGUUUUAAAUAAAAGAAAAUAUUUUUAAAAAAUCUAAUUAGAAUUUUAAGUGUAAGCUAUAAUAUUUUUUCUUAGUACAAUUUACAUAUUUAAUUUUCUUAUGUAUAUAAUAUUUAAGUAUAAGGUAGCUAACUAAUAUUUUUAACUAUGCAUUUUACUUUCUGAUUUUUCAUUAAUAAAGAAUAAGUAAAAGUUAUUAAAAAACAAAAAGAAAGAAAACUAACGAAAAGAAAAAAAUAAAAAAAGACAAAGCAAAUAAUAAUAAUAAUAAUAAUAUAACAAAAAGUGAUAAAUCUUAAAAGAUUCAAAUAAAAAUAUCCUAACUACUCACCAUGAUCUUCUCAACCUCUUUCUCCGACUCCAACUCUAACUCUAACUCCUUUACAUACCACCCACAUUCUCUUUAUAAAAGGGAGACAUCUCAUAAAAAAACAGAAAAAAAGGGGAGAAGAAACGAAAGAAAUAAGAGAGAAAAGAAAAAAAACAACGAAAGAAAAAAAAGGAAAAAAACAAAGAGAAAAAACAAACUAAAAAAAACGAGGAAGAAAGAAAGAGAGGCUGGAGCUAGAGUUCGAGAUUUUGAUUGUGGUUCCGAGUUCAAGGUUAGUGGAAAUCAAUAGAUUGUAGCCGUAAUUUUGUUAAAAUCUUAAAAAAAAAAAAAGAUUCAUCUUUGUCUCUUUAAUAUUUGGAUCAUACAUCGUUAGAUAUGUUUGCUGGUAUCUUUUGCGUCAUUUUAUGUUUAAGAAUUUGAAAAGUUUUAAUCAUAUUCGACUUAUGCAUUCUCAAUAUUGUUCAGUAUGAAGUUUAAAAAAAUCGUUUAAAAGAGGACGACUUCUAUGAUAAUUACUAGAUUGUUAGGUGAGUUUAUUUUAAUCUUUAAUGUUAGAUUUCCAUGACAAUUGAAAUUUUUGUUCGAUCUAAUAUAUAUCGCUUGAUUGUUUGCGACCUUAGUAAAAUAAUAACUAAGACGAGUCCUUUUUAUUCUUUCUCGUUCUUUCAGUUUUAAUUAGGGGGAGUGCCUAAAGAAAUUUUUUUACUUCGUUAUAGUUUUGUUUAUUUUUCUUAGAAGUUUUAUUUAUAUUUUUGGUAUAAAAUAAUGUGAUUGACAAAAUUUUGUUGGAACAUGUGUUACUUUAUUAUUUGAGUUGUUGAAAUUUUAGUUCUUUAAUAGUUAAAUCAAAUUCAUAUUCAUAUAGACGUGUAUAUCAAAUUAUGGCAAGUUAGUCGCACAGAACAAUAUGAUAGUUAGAUAAGAUUAUUAUUUUAUAUUAAGUUUUAUUGAUAAAUGUGGCUAGAAUUUGCAUAUUUUUUUUUUAUAAAUGUCUCCAGAUAAUGAUAAAUCAAAUAUUAUGUAGGUUUGUUUAAAUUAUAAAUCAUCAAUAGAAAGCCUCAUUAAUUUGGUUCUAUCCUCUAGGCCAAUGGUCAUCUCUUAGUUAUAUUUUACUUUAAAACCUUAAGAUUUAUUAUAACAGUUAAAAAAUAACAACAAUAAAAUAGAUAAAAUAGUUACUAGCUCAUGUGUUCAUACCCGAACCUUGGAUUGAUACGCUUAAAUAAUAAAAGGAUCAUGNNNNNNNNNNNNNNNNNNNNNNNNNNNNNNNNNNNNNNNNNNNNNNNNNNNNNNNNNNNNNNNNNNNNNNNNNNNNNNNNNNNNNNNNNNNNNNNNNNNNNNNNNNNNNNNNNNNNNNNNNNNNNNNNNNNNNNNNNNNNNNNNNNNNNNNNNNNNCCGUACCUUGAUUUAAUAUUUAAUUUCAAGGAAGUACCUUGUGUGCGUAUUGCAUCUUGGUCAAAAUAAUUAAUAAAAAAUAUAAUAAAUUAAGUGAAGCUGUAAUAAAUAAGUCAUAACCAAUAAAAUACAAGAAUAACUAAAAGUUGAUUUAAGCCUUACAUUAAUCAAUAAAUGCGACCGUGCUAGAACCAUGAGACUCGAGGAGUGCCCUACACCUUUCCCUCGGUCAACAGAAUUCCUUACCCAAUCUUCUAUUUUCGUAGAUCAUAAAUUAAGAGCCAAACCUUCCUUUUGAAAAGGGAUUCAAAUAAAAGGUGACUUGGAACAUCAAAACUCAAUUGCAAGUGGCGACUCUAAAUAAUAAAUAAUCCCUUUUCAAAACGUCACUUUGAUUAGAAAAACUCUUCUAACUCAACUGUGGGAAAAAAGAGGUGUGACAAUAUUAAAUCAAUAACAUUCUUCAGAUAAAAGCUUGCCGAAUAAAACGAUGAUUUAACAAUAUACCCAAAACACCCUAUAUCCGAUGACUAAACAAAAAUUUGACUCCAAAUUUUUAAACAUGCCAUUUUGAUAAGAGUUAAUCCUACCAUUAUCUAUUUCUAAUCAGUAAGACUAAUUACUGGAAGACGAAAACUAUCACAAAACUAUGACAUCUUAGUAAAAAUUGAUUUCACCUUAUCUUUUCCUAAAUCAAAUAGAUUAACUAUUUUAAAAUAAACUUCAUAUCAGAAAAGAUUUUCCAGAAAAGAAUGUCUUGGCCCCAUGGCUUACAUUAACCAUCAUAUGGAUCAACCUGCUAUUGUCAAUUUGAAAACAUAAACUUAAACUAAUAGCUCUGCCUCAUUAGGAUUUUAUAGCAAGAGGCAUUUGAGGCUCACAUAGAAAUGUCACUCAUGAAUUCUAAUAGAACAUAAAAGUAUAAUCAAGAUUCAUACAAGAAAGCCAAGAAAUAUUGGUAUAGAAGAUAUCAAGCAAACCAUUAAACUCAUUUCAAACCAAAAACUCUUAUCAUACUAAUAAUCAGACCAAACAGUAAGAUAGGGAGAAAGGAAAUGGACCUGAAAUUGCUUUCGACUGAAUUUCAACAGCUACUAUGAAGGAAUUGAAAAAUGAUGGAUCUGAACAAAAGAGUUUCGAAAAGAACAGCAACCUACGACUGGAAUCUGAACAACAACAGAACUACGAUCCGAACCAGAACGGGCUUCGACUCGGCACCACAAACCACACCUCGAACGCCAAUCGACAAGUAAUCUCGGACAAAAACUCCAAACGGCACCGGAAUUUUGAAUCUACGCACGAACUCACCCUCAAAAUUCAAUCAAAUUUUCUGUCGUAAUGUUUCUGACUUUGAAACAGAAUUCAAAUAGAAGAAACUUAUUUUCUUUUGUUCUUAUAUAUAUGGAAAAAAAACAGAAUAAGAGAACACAAAAGAAAACUCUUAUUUUCAAAUGGAUUGAAAUUAGAAGAACAACCAAAAAAUCCGAAAACCCUAGCUCUUUCUCACAGUUUCUCCUCCUCUUUCUUCUGCCCGAAAAUCCCAAAUAUAUAGGAAGCCGAGAAACUUCUUCUUCUUUCCUCUCCAAGAAAAACCAAAAAUCUCCACAAAAUUCUCAGAAAAUAAAAACCAAAAUCUGAAAAUCUAUUCUAUUAGUGAGAUAAGAGAAAUUGAAGGAGUAGAUCGAGUGCAACUCAAUCCUACACACCCCAUUUUUCCUAUUUUCGCCUAAAAGAGUAAAUUCGAAAAACGAAAAAUAGAAACAAAAUGCGUAGAAUCAAAUUCUAAUGAUAAGGGAGGGACUAGGAGGGGACCAAUACUUACGUGAAAGUAAUUUCAGGUGGAUUUGGACAUGGGUCGCGGCAGAGUGGUGGAGAGAUGAGGAGAUGGGGGCGGAUGGUCUUGGGAGCUAGGGUUUGGGCAUUUAGGGUUAAGGCUAGGGUUAUAUUUGGGUGUGGGAAAACAAGGGAGGCUGUUAGAUUUGAAGAGAGGGACGACCGCUGUUAGAUGUGAAAAUGAGGUUAGUGGGUCGUUUGGGGCGGACUUGGGCUGCUAAGUUGGGUCAGGGUAGU